RNAcentral lists this transfer RNA (73 nucleotides) under Ixodes scapularis (black-legged tick). It matches the Rfam family "tRNA". Rfam says of the family: Transfer RNA (tRNA) molecules are approximately 80 nucleotides in length. Their secondary structure includes four short double-helical elements and three loops (D, anti-codon, and T loops). Further hydrogen bonds mediate the characteristic L-shaped molecular structure. tRNAs have two regions of fundamental functional importance: the anti-codon, which is responsible for specific mRNA codon recognition, and the 3' end, to which the tRNAs corresponding amino acid is attached (by aminoacyl-tRNA synthetases). tRNAs cope with the degeneracy of the genetic code in two manners: having more than one tRNA (with a specific anti-codon) for a particular amino acid; and 'wobble' base-pairing, i.e. permitting non-standard base-pairing at the 3rd anti-codon position. Lineage: Eukaryota; Metazoa; Arthropoda; Arachnida; Ixodida; Ixodidae. The record is from Rfam by way of RNAcentral.
UCCUCUUUAGCCAAGUUGGUAGAGCGCUCCAUUGGAAAUGGAGAGGUCCUUGGUUCGAUACCAGGACCAGGCG